Molecule: long non-coding RNA, 807 nt
Organism: Tachysurus vachellii
Lineage: Eukaryota; Metazoa; Chordata; Actinopteri; Siluriformes; Bagridae
Exons: 3
Source: RefSeq, a predicted model, not a curated record
UUUGCUCAACAAACAUGGCACCCAAAUGUAGUUUUAUAAGUCUCCAAUGAGAAGUGAGAGUCGAAAGAAUGUCCGGUAGUGAACUAUUGUUAACAGUUUUUAUAUCGUUAUUCGGUCAGAAACGUCAAGAAUGUGAGGCGAACAAAUCGUUUUGGAUUAUAUUCCAUUUCCUUGGACUCUUGGGGAUUUAUGAAAACAAUUUGUUUUGGACAAUUUCACCAAGGUGGAUAAAGGGAAGCAUUUUGUGAUCAUAUGUGAUGCUCACAAAUGUGGAGGUCAAGUGGCCCGGCUCUGUUCAUGACUCAAGAAUGUAUCAGGAGUCAACAGACUGAGUAACAGACUGGAAAGGGGAGAGAUUGAUGGCUUUCUGCUGGGAGAUAGUUACCCAUGCCGACCAAAGCUUAUUACACCUUACCCAAAACCUGAACCAGGCCCCCAGCAGCGCUUCUAUGUGGCACACUGCAGGACGAGAGCCCAUGACCAUAGGCCUGUUGAAAGCACGUUUUCAGUUCCUACUUCACCUCAUGUAACCAAAGAAAGGGCCUGCAACAUUAUUGUGGCAUGUGUUGUUCUCCAUAAUAUUGUCAUAAUUAGAGGGGCGCAACACCCUACCCUACAAUUACAAGAUCCUGAGGAAGACUCCAUCAACCCUGCACAUUUCCAGGAUGGAAGGGUAGUCCGGGAUAUGAUAUGCCACAGUGCCAUCUCAGAUUAAUCAUAAUAUCUACCACCACUACCACCACCACCACAAAAAAAAAGGAAAAUGAAUAAACACAAAUUCACAGCAAUUUAUAUGGUGUUCUUUAU